CUCCCAAGUAGCUGGGAUUACAGGCAUGCACCACCACACCCAGCUAAUUUUUUUUUUUUUUUUUUUUUUUUACUUUUAGUGGAAACGGGGUUUCAUCAUGUUUGCCAGGCUGCUCUCAAACUCCUGACCUCCAGUGAUCCACCCUCCUCGGCCUCCCAAAGUGCUGGGAUUACAGGCGUGAGCCACUGCACCUGGCCCAAAGUUUGAAAUAUUGUUAAAGACUGUUUGGAGAGGCAAAACCAUUAAGAAAGGGGAGAGGUUGAAGAUUUGACUCUAGACCUCAAAGAACCUGGUCAAACAGCUGCAUUUGUCUCUCCCCCAAACUGACUUGCAUAAUACUUUUAUGUUUUACAAAAUUAAGUAAUCUUAUUUCUAUAUUUGCAUCUCCAUUAUUUUUUCGGUUGCUGAAAUUCCAGGAGUUGGCAGUUGCAGUUCCUACUGAUUCUCUGUGUAUCAGUGAAGACUAGUAACCUCAAUACACAUGUGACUUGCUUGCGCAGCUUCCUGUCCUUCAAUUCCCACCAUACCCAGAUGACUCUUCCAAAAAUAAUUCCUUUGCAGUAAAGCAUUCUUCUCAAUUUUGAAGACAGAUAAUUCUUUGCAGUUACUUCCUCAUUCAGUUGUAUCACCAGAACAGCCACUGGGCCUCUGUGCUACAUUUCAUGAUGCCAAUAUCUAUUUCUUGUUUUGGAUUAUGAGUUUCUUGAGGACAAGAACUAUGCUUUAUUUGCCUUCAUAUCCCGAGUAUCCCUUACAGGACCUUCACAC
This 768-nucleotide long non-coding RNA is filed under the name Rhinopithecus bieti (black snub-nosed monkey). RNAcentral describes it as "lncRNA (ENSRBIG00000046190.1)". Lineage: Eukaryota; Metazoa; Chordata; Mammalia; Primates; Cercopithecidae. The record is from RNAcentral.